AAGAAAAUGACAGAGCGGCUAUGUGGUUGGCUUGAAACCAGCAUACGGGGGUUCAACUCCUCCUUUUCUGG
This 71-nucleotide transfer RNA is filed under the name Rexea antefurcata (long-finned escolar). RNAcentral's name for it is "tRNA-Ser". It matches the Rfam family "tRNA". Rfam says of the family: Transfer RNA (tRNA) molecules are approximately 80 nucleotides in length. Their secondary structure includes four short double-helical elements and three loops (D, anti-codon, and T loops). The record is from RNAcentral. Lineage: Eukaryota; Metazoa; Chordata; Actinopteri; Scombriformes; Gempylidae.